UACGGAGGAUGCAAGCGUUAUCCGGAUUUAUUGGGUUUAAAGGGUGCGUAGGCGGCCGAGUAAGUCAGCGGUGAAAUUUGCAGCUUAACUGUAACAGUGCCGUUGAUACUGCAUGACUAGGAUUUGGUUGCUGUGGGUGGAAUGUGUGGUGUAGCGGCGAAAUGCUUAGAUAUCACACAGAAUAUCAAUUGCGAAGGCAGCUCACAAAGCCAAGAUUGACGCUGAGGCACGAAAGUGUGGGGAUCAA
RNAcentral lists this ribosomal RNA (247 nucleotides) under uncultured prokaryote. RNAcentral's name for it is "partial 16S ribosomal RNA". It matches the Rfam family "Bacterial small subunit ribosomal RNA", at positions 524 to 771 of the family's 1533-position model. The record is from RNAcentral.